UACGUAGGGGGCGAGCGUUGUCCGGAUUUAUUGGGCGUAAAGAGCGUGUAGGCGGCCAGGUAGGUCUGCUGUGAAAACUCGAGGCUCAACCUCGAGACGUCGGCGGAAACCAUCUGGCUAGAGUCCGGAAGAGGAGAGUGGAAUUCCUGGUGUAGCGGUGGGAUGCGCAGAUAUCAGGAGGAACACCGGUGGCGAAGGCGGGUCUCUGGGCCAUUACUGACGCUGGAGGAGCGAAAGCGUGGGGAGCGAACAGG
RNAcentral lists this ribosomal RNA (254 nucleotides) under uncultured bacterium. Its description in RNAcentral is "partial 16S ribosomal RNA". It matches the Rfam family "Bacterial small subunit ribosomal RNA", at positions 524 to 776 of the family's 1533-position model. The record is from RNAcentral.